AAAGAGAAUCCAUAUAGUCGAUCUUAAUAAAUUUUUGGGGUAAAGAUUUAGUUGAGUUAAUUUUUUGGCCUGCAUUAUGAGGACCUAUCCUAUUUGUAGUGGAAGGGGGAAAGCAGUGAAAAGAAAAGUGGCACCACAGUUAUGCAGGGGCCAUGUUUAUUAGUUCCUUAUUGGACAUGAUGAUAAUAAUUGGGAUUAAAACGCAAUUGAUUGGUAAACAGAAAUCAUUAGAUUAGACAUAGCAACUAAUUUGAUCAUUUAUUUAUGUUGCAUGUUACGGCCCCUCACACCACCACCACACAUGCACCCAUCCAUGGUGCCCUUUCUUGAAGAAAAUAAAAAAAAGAAUGUCACAAAUCACAAGUGCCCCUGCUUUUUGUAAGGAAUAGAUUUGGUUUCUUCUAAUGUUAACUGGAAUUUCAAAUGCUAUGUGACAAGCAUUAUUAACUAGAAUUUAUUUUUCCCACGUUUUUUUAUUGGGUGAUUGGGUGUCUUUUGCUUUGCAGUCAUUAUAUGCCAACAAAGUUG
RNAcentral lists this unclassified non-coding RNA (528 nucleotides) under Hevea brasiliensis (rubber tree). The record is from RNAcentral. Lineage: Eukaryota; Viridiplantae; Streptophyta; Magnoliopsida; Malpighiales; Euphorbiaceae.